CCCGGCAACCAUAGCCGAGGGGAAACACCCGUUCCCAUCCCGAACACGGCCGUUAAGCCCUCUGGCGCCGAUGGUACUGUCCGCGAGAGCGGGCGGGAGAGUAGGUGUUGCCGGGA
RNAcentral lists this ribosomal RNA (116 nucleotides) under bacterium. The record is from RNAcentral. RNAcentral also lists the same sequence under 2 other names.